GUUUGUCGCGUUGUUCGUGAAAUCUCACGGCUUAACUGUGAGCGUGCGGGCGAUACGGGCAGACUUGAGUACUGCAGGGGAGAGUGGAAUUCCUGGUGUAGCGGUGGAAUGCGCAGAUAUCAGGAGGAACACCGGUGGCGAAGGCGGGUCUCUGGGCAGUAACUGACGCUGAGGAGCGAAAGCGUGGGGAGCGAACAGGAUUAGAUACCCUGGUAGUCCACGCCGUAAACGGUGGGUACUAGGUGUGGGUUUCCUUCCUUGGGAUCCGUGCCGUAGCUAACGCAUUAAGUACCCCGCCUGGGGAGUACGGCCGCAAGGCUAAAACUCAAAGAAAUUGACGGGGGCCCGCACAAGCGGCGGAGCAUGUGGAUUAAUUCGAUGCAACGCGAAGAACCUUACCUGGGUUUGACAUGCACAGGACGCCGGCAGAGAUGUCGGUUCCCUUGUGGCCUGUGUGCAGGUGGUGCAUGGCUGUCGUCAGCUCGUGUCGUGAGAUGUUGGGUUAAGUCCCGCAACGAGCGCAACCCUUGUCUCAUGUUGCCAGCGGGUAAUGCCGGGGACUCGUGAGAGACUGCCGGGGUCAACUCGGAGGAAGGUGGGGAUGACGUCAAGUCAUCAUGCCCCUUAUGUCCAGGGCUUCACACAUGCUACAAUGGCCGGUACAAAGGGCUGCGAUGCCGCGAGGUUAAGCGAAUCCUUUUAAAGCCGGUCUCAGUUCGGAUCGGGGUCUGCAACUCGACCCCGUGAAGUCGGAGUC
Molecule: ribosomal RNA, 757 nt
Filed under: uncultured bacterium
Lineage: Bacteria
Description: bacterial SSU rRNA
Rfam family: Bacterial small subunit ribosomal RNA
Source: RNAcentral